UUAGGCAGCGAAGGCAUGUCAUACACACCUUUUCAGUUGUUGGCUCAAGUGUCUCUUUGCCUUGACCUCCUUGCAUUUCUUGUUUNGUGUACCUCUAAUAAGGUAGUUGGUAGGCCCGAAUGUUCCUCAUUCUUACAUGCACUGAAACCCUAUGCGGUUGUAGUGCGAGUAAGACCAUGAAGCUUCCAUUGUGUUCCACAUCUCGCUUGCCUUCUUGUGUAAUGAGUUGUUGGCACAUUAUGUAUUGCUUGAUCACUUGGAUGCGGAAAGUGGAGUGGUAUGAGGCAUCUUUGCCUCUAUUUGCCCUAAAAUUAAGCGUUCGUCGCUUCUUGCGGAUGACUGUUGUAUUUGUUUUGGUUUUAGCCAUUANUGGNUUUAAUCUUGCNCUAACAACGUCAAU
Molecule: unclassified non-coding RNA, 400 nt
Filed under: Glossostigma cleistanthum
Lineage: Eukaryota; Viridiplantae; Streptophyta; Magnoliopsida; Lamiales; Phrymaceae
Description: partial external transcribed spacer
Source: RNAcentral